UGAAAAUUAAAGCUCACUUUGGUAGCAUAUAAACAAUACAGAGAAGAUUAGCAUGGCCCCUGCACAAGGUUGUCAUGCAAAUUCGUGAAAUGUUCCCUAUUUUU
Small nuclear RNA from Vulpes vulpes (red fox), 104 nucleotides. The record is from Ensembl. NCBI's taxonomy places the organism in Eukaryota, Metazoa, Chordata, Mammalia, Carnivora, Canidae.